This 91-nucleotide ribosomal RNA is filed under the name Coprinellus radians. RNAcentral's name for it is "partial 28S rRNA". The stretch from base 35 to 91 matches the Rfam family "Eukaryotic large subunit ribosomal RNA", at positions 1 to 57 of the family's 3401-position model. The record is from RNAcentral. Lineage: Eukaryota; Fungi; Basidiomycota; Agaricomycetes; Agaricales; Psathyrellaceae.
UCUAACCGUCCGCGAGGACAAUACCUUGACAAUUUGACCUCAAAUCAGGUAGGACUACCCGCUGAACUUAAGCAUAUCAAUAAGCGGAGGA